CUUGACGACCAUAGAGCAUUGGAACCACCUGAUCCCAUCCCGAACUCAGCAGUGAAAC
This 58-nucleotide ribosomal RNA is filed under the name Pseudomonas fluorescens. Lineage: Bacteria; Pseudomonadati; Pseudomonadota; Gammaproteobacteria; Pseudomonadales; Pseudomonadaceae. RNAcentral also lists the same sequence under 6 other names. The record is from RNAcentral.